CCUACGGGUGACAGCAGUGAGGAAUAUUGGUCAAUGGACGAGAGUCUGAACCAGCCAAGUAGCGUGAAGGAUGACUGCCCUAUGGGUUGUAAACUUCUUUUAUCAAGGAAUAAAGUGAGGCACGUGUGCCUUUUUGUAUGUACUUUAUGAAUAAGGAUCGGCUAACUCCGUGCCAGCAGCCGCGGUAAUACGGAGGAUCCGAGCGUUAUCCGGAUUUAUUGGGGUUAAAGGGAGCGGAGAUGGGUUGUUAAGUCAGUUGUGAAAGUUUGCGGCUCAACCGUAAAAGUGCAAUUGAUACUGGCAGUCUUGAGUAGGGGUGAGGUAGGCGGAAUUCGUGGUGUAGCGGUGAAAUGCUUAGAUAUCACGAAGAACUCCGAUUGCGAAGGCAGCUUACUAACCUGCCACUGACAUUGAUGCUCGAAAGUGUGGGUAUCAAACAGGAUUAGAUACCCGAGUAGUC
Molecule: ribosomal RNA, 460 nt
Filed under: uncultured bacterium
Lineage: Bacteria
Description: partial 16S ribosomal RNA
Rfam family: Bacterial small subunit ribosomal RNA
Source: RNAcentral